AUGUCGGAUCUGCGGCACGGAGAGCCGCUGGCGAAGCAAAGGAACAUCGACCCCAUCGCCCGGACUGACCAUCCGUGGGAUCUCCCUGCAACAGUCCCCCUCCCCCACCGAUGCGACUGCCCAGAGGACAGCGUUUUGGUGAUUCCCCGGGAGGCAAACCUCCCGAUUGACAGAGAAGCAAAGAAGGUCGUGGCACGGGUGUCACAAGCAGUAGUCGGCGUCGCCAGCAUUACCGUUUAUGGCGAUCAGCUGUGGAGAGCUUCAGGCUUUAUUGUCGAAUUUGAUGAAUCCAGCAUGAUUGGGACAAUAUUUUCAUGUGCAACUGUAUCUGAACACAUUCCGAUGUUCCCUAAAAUUGACAAGAUAAGAGUAUAUCUAUUUGAUGGUACCUCUUAUGACGCCACCAUAGAAGCUUGCGACAAUCACUGGAAUUUGUUAGUAUUGUCUGUUUCAUUUGGUCGUGCUGUCAAAACCAUGAACAUGGUGGAAAUUAGCGAGAACAGAAAUGCGAUGGAUGUUCAUCUUCAAGGAUUUGUGCUACAGCCUCACUCAGCUUCUGAAAGGCUUUGUCCUGGCGAUACCAUUAUCGGACUUGGUCGACAGUCUACAGAGCCUUUUGGGCUUCAAGCGAAUUGUGGAGUUUACAGCUACGAGCGUUGGGCAGAUCUCCCUAGGUUUUGCCAUGAAAUGCAGAAAGCAACAUUUAUAAACACAUAUGCGUCAAUUGGAGGUCCAGCAAUAAACAAAAAUGGCAGAGUCAUUGGAAUGCUUUUCCAUGAUCUAGACUGUACUCCUUUCAUGCCAUCCAACAUCAUUUUAAAAUGGUGGGAUCAUUUCAAAAAAACUAGGAUGUAUUGUCGUCCAACUAUGAGAGUUUUUGGUGUUAAUCUACAUAAUGCUCAGUCUUCACCUUGGGUAAAAGUUCCCACAUCUUUAUAUGAAAGCUAUGAUGAUGGCUUUCUUGUGGAGCGGGUACCUCGAUCUGUGAAAUCAGCGGGAUUACAGCAAAAAGAUCUUAUUAUUACAUGCAAUGGGAAACCUGUGGCUACGAGUUUACAGUUGUUCGAAAUCUUAGCGGAGAAUAUUGGAAAAAUGGUGGGGGUUACUUUUAUUAAGGCUGAGGACAACAGUAAGCAUUCAAUAUAUCUUCCUGUGGAGGAGACUCUGGAGAAAAACUUCUACAGCUGGCCAAUUGCACAGUACAGCAAUCUUUGCUAA
RNAcentral lists this ribosomal RNA (1218 nucleotides) under Triticum aestivum (bread wheat). RNAcentral describes it as "partial small subunit ribosomal RNA". Lineage: Eukaryota; Viridiplantae; Streptophyta; Magnoliopsida; Poales; Poaceae. The record is from RNAcentral.